AUGAAGAUGUAUAAAGAGACAGUGCUUUUGUUACUAUUUUUAGGUUAUGUUUCAACCCAAGAAGUGAGUACCCCUCACAGUAAUGCAAGUAAACCCUACGAACAACCAGUAACGAAGGAAAUAACAACCGUGGCAACGGCUAGCAUAGCCAAAGACGAGCAUUUGACCACCCAAACCCACUCUGAGAUCUCAACGCAGGCACCAGGAAAAGACGGAUCAAGAGAUCGGGUAACCCACGCUCUCUCCGGACCAGGUAAGUUGACAACUUGCAUGUGGACAAAAAUCGCACGUAAUUCUCCUUAUUUGCCAAUAGAGGUCCCCAUUUUUCUUCUUAUGAGGGUUGCUUUAAGUGGGCCACAGAGUUUGCAACAUGGUUCUUCCCUUCUUAAAAAUGGUGCCUUUUCUAUGAGACAUCAGAAAAUGGCCAUAAGUUACAUGAUAAAUAAACAAUCUUAA
This 456-nucleotide long non-coding RNA is filed under the name Phascolarctos cinereus (koala). Its description in RNAcentral is "lncRNA (ENSPCIG00000003986.2)". Lineage: Eukaryota; Metazoa; Chordata; Mammalia; Diprotodontia; Phascolarctidae. The record is from RNAcentral.